This 189-nucleotide non-coding RNA is filed under the name Bacillota bacterium. RNAcentral's name for it is "Firmicutes bacterium T-box sequence". It matches the Rfam family "T-box leader". Rfam says of the family: Uncharged tRNA acts as the effector for transcription antitermination of genes in the T-box leader family. T-boxes are found upstream of many aminoacyl-tRNA synthetase genes and some amino acid biosynthetic genes usually in Gram-positive bacteria. Lineage: Bacteria; Bacillati; Bacillota. The record is from RNAcentral.
AAUUAAAAAGCGAUUCAUUUAAAGUAGUUAUUUUAAGAGUUAAAUAGAGAGCUUGUGGGUGGUGUAAACAAGUAAUUUUAUAAUAAUGAAUUACAGAUGAUGAUUUUAAUCGGAUUUUUCCGUUAUCAAGAAGAGGUAAUAAACUAUUAUUACGAAUAAAGGUGGUACCGCGAGCAAUUCGUCCUUUUU